RNAcentral lists this ribosomal RNA (508 nucleotides) under uncultured bacterium. Its description in RNAcentral is "partial 16S ribosomal RNA". It matches the Rfam family "Bacterial small subunit ribosomal RNA", at positions 28 to 507 of the family's 1533-position model. The record is from RNAcentral.
GACGAACGCUGGCGGCGUGCCUAAUACAUGCAAGUCGAACGCUUCUUUCCUCCCGAGUGCUUGCACUCAAUUGGAAAGAGGAGUGGCGGACGGGUGAGUAACACGUGGGUAACCUACCCAUCAGAGGGGGAUAACACUUGGAAACAGGUGCUAAUACCGCAUAACAGUUUAUGCCGCAUGGCAUAAGAGUGAAAGGCGCUUUCGGGUGUCGCUGAUGGAUGGACCCGCGGUGCAUUAGCUAGUUGGUGAGGUAAAGGCUCACCAAGGCCACGAUGCAUAGCCGACCUGAGAGGGUGAUCGGCCACACUGGGACUGAGACACGGCCCAGACUCCUACGGGAGGCAGCAGUAGGGAAUCUUCGGCAAUGGACGAAAGUCUGACCGAGCAACGCCGCGUGAGUGAAGAAGGUUUUCGGAUCGUAAAACUCUGUUGUUAGAGAAGAACAAGGACGUUAGUAACUGAACGUCCCCUGACGGUAUCUAACCAGAAAGCCACGGCUAACUACGUG